Synchiropus splendidus (mandarinfish) is the source of this 672-nucleotide long non-coding RNA. RefSeq lists it as uncharacterized. The record is from RefSeq and is a predicted model, not a curated record. The transcript is spliced from 3 exons. NCBI's taxonomy places the organism in Eukaryota, Metazoa, Chordata, Actinopteri, Syngnathiformes, Callionymidae.
GUUACAUAAGGCUCACCGCGAUGCUGCACCAGCACCAGUGUCAACUGAAGUCUCCUUAAGUCUCGCAGUAAUUCUCUGUUUGAAACGUUUCCAUGAAACGAAAUGUGGUUCACAGACGGAGAGCAGCACAGCAGAUAAAAACCGACAUGACGAUGUUCUGCUGCUGCUGCUGCUGCAGCGUCAUCGCUCACCUGAAGAUCACGAGCGGAUGAAGGCGCUGUGAAUGAAAAACAAAACAGAAACUCACCGCUGACGAAGAGGAGACGCAGGAGACAGGAGGGAAACACGGAGUGAUGAAGAGGAGGAGGAGGAAGAGUCUGCAGCGUCGCUGGAAAACAGCGAGGAGAGAAGAUGCGUUCGUGUGCCUAGAGAAGAGUAGGAAAGAAGGCCGCACCUUGAAGGCCAGUUUGGCUUUGCACUGCGGCUGUCUCCACACCACCAAAGUGGUGACCAUGCAGAUCGCCAUGACCACCCCAAGGACAGCGAGGGACCAGGUACGCAGGCCCCCCUGGACCGCCACCACACUGAAGCAGCACAUCAGCACGCCUGCAGGGGGAGACCGGACGGCUGAUGGCUCUCACACCGCUCUUCCAGUCGGAGCUGCUCACUCACCCAGCAGGCUGGUGCAAAUAUUGACAGUGAACCCGGACAGAGGCGUCGGCUCCGUGUUGG